CUCACCAAACCGGGAUCGAACCAGGGACCUUUAGAUCUUCAGUCUAACGCUCCCCCAACUGAGCUAUUAGCGC
This 73-nucleotide transfer RNA is filed under the name Cordylochernes scorpioides. Its description in RNAcentral is "tRNA-Phe". The record is from RNAcentral. Lineage: Eukaryota; Metazoa; Arthropoda; Arachnida; Pseudoscorpiones; Chernetidae.